Molecule: long non-coding RNA, 1584 nt
Filed under: Homo sapiens (human)
Lineage: Eukaryota; Metazoa; Chordata; Mammalia; Primates; Hominidae
Description: HSALNT0135807
Source: RNAcentral
CUUUGCACUUUGGCUGUUGGGCCAUUAAAGACAACAACCAAAAAAGAACAAUCGUGGUUUCAGAGAGCAAGCAGAUUAUUUGAAAGGCAUUUUGGAAGCAAAUGCAAUGGGAUCUGGUGAUUUGGAUAGAGGGUAGGGUAAGGGUCAACGGAGCUCCCAGGUUGAGUCUUGAGCAGGUUGGUCAGGAAGGCUGAGGUGGGGCAGGUGAAGGUGGAGAGGGCAUGAGAGAAAGAUCGAGAGUUCAGACAUGCAAAGCAGUAAAGCUGAAAUGCCUGCAGCACAGCCAAGGAGGCAGCUGAAUAUAGGAAACCAGAGCUCAGAGGAGAAAUCUGAAAUGGUUCACAUAGCCUAAUCAUGAAAAAGACACCAGACAAAUUCCAAUUGAAGGACAUUCUAGAGAAUACCUGACCAGAACUCCUCAAACCUGUCAAGAUGAUCAAAACCAAGGAAAAUCACAGACACUGUCAUGACCAAAAGGAGCCUAUGGAGACACAGCUACUAAAUAUAAUGUGGUUUCCUGGAUGGGAUCCUGGAAAGAGCCCAAGGGAAACAUAGCCAUGGGACAUCUUUCUUCAAUGAAGUCUACAUUUACAGCAACCAAGCGCACACAACUCCAUUUCCUGUUUAUGUAAGACUUCUUGCUACUGGAUGCAGGGAAAAUAUAUCCCUCUUAUUGGCUUUCCCAUAAAGGUAUCUCCCACUCACCAAUGCCCUAUUCUUUUCAGGUAAGAUUCAUUCACGUGACAACUGAUUACCAAAAGACUGUAUUGGGGCAAACCUCAUGUUUUUUGUGUCUUGUCAUUCUAUAGGGAGGGAAAUGUCUCUUGCCUAAUACUUCACUUUGUUCCAUGCCCACUGUGUUCCAUAGUUUGGGAAAGCAUACUUUAAAUCCAGCGUGGGAUCUGUUUGAGUGAUCCCUGGAUUUGUAUUGGUUUUGUUUUCUGAAGCAGGUUUGUCUUAGUGGGUGCCCUUUAGAGAUCACUUUUGUUAUAAAAUGAACCAAGAUUAAUAGCCAGCUCCAUGUCAUGUGUUUGCAUGUCUUCAGCUGACGAAUUUCAAAUGACCUUCUUGUUCUGCCAAUACAUUGUGGAGAUACCAUCACUGAAAGCCGGCCCUUGCUACUGCUGACUCUGUCAUAUGGGGAAGGGGACAGUGUGUAAUUCUGCCUGUGGUAAUCUGCUUGUGGCAGUGAUUUUAUAGCCUGCAAACUUUUGCUUAUUGUACCCAGAUGUUGUAUGAUACUUUGCCAAAAAUACAUCUUUUAAAGAAUCUGUCUUAACUCUUUGUUUUGAGAUAAUUUUAUGCUUACAAUAUUUGUCUCAUCAUGUUCUCUCUCUGUCUCUGUAUGUAAACAUUUUUGAACCAUUUGAGAGUAAGUUGCAAAGAAAAUACGCCAUUACCUUAGUGUACAAUUCCUAAAAAUAAGGGUAUUUUCUUACAAAACCAGAGUACAAUUUUCAAAAUCAGAACAUUUAUGUAAGUGCAGUUCUAUUAUCUAAUACAUAGACUUUAGUCAAGUUUUGUAAUUUUUUACUGGCCCAGGAUCAAUCUGGUAUUCAUGUUGCCCUUGGUUUUCUUGUCUCA